This 248-nucleotide ribosomal RNA is filed under the name Prevotella sp. RNAcentral describes it as "partial 16S ribosomal RNA". It matches the Rfam family "Bacterial small subunit ribosomal RNA", at positions 1 to 244 of the family's 1533-position model. Lineage: Bacteria; Pseudomonadati; Bacteroidota; Bacteroidia; Bacteroidales; Prevotellaceae. The record is from RNAcentral.
CAAAUGAAGAGUUUGAUCCUGGCUCAGGAUGAACGCUGGCGGCGUGCCUAAUACAUGCAAGUCGAACGCUGGAGAUCUAGCUUGCUAGAUCGAAGGAGUGGCGAACGGGUGAGUAAUACAUAAGCAACCUACCCACGAAGACUGGGAUAAUCUCUGGAAACGGGGACUAAUACCGGAUAGGUAAUCGGAAGGCAUCUUCUGGUUAUUAAAGGUUAAAAACACUGGUGGAUGGGCUUAUGGCGCAUUAG